This 73-nucleotide transfer RNA is filed under the name Acinetobacter baumannii BJAB07104. RNAcentral's name for it is "tRNA-Asn". Lineage: Bacteria; Pseudomonadati; Pseudomonadota; Gammaproteobacteria; Moraxellales; Moraxellaceae. The record is from RNAcentral.
CAAAACCUGAAUAUUUGCUUGGAAUCGUCAAACGAAUAUUAAACGGCGUUUUAAAACGUGGUUCAUCAAAUGA